AUUGAACGCUGGCGGCAGGCUUAACACAUGCAAGUCGAGCGGGGUGAUGGUGCUUGCACUAUCACUUAGCGGCGGACGGGUGAGUAAUGCUUAGGAAUCUGCCUAUUAGUGGGGGACAACAUCUCGAAAGGGAUGCUAAUACCGCAUACGGCCUACGGGAGAAAGCAGGGGCUCACUUGUGACCUUGCGCUAAUAGAUGAGCCUCAGUCGGAUUAGCGAGUUGGUGGGGUAAAGGCCGACCAAGGCGCCGAUCUGUAGCGGGUCUGGGAGGUGGGCCCGCCACACGGGGACUGAGAGACGGCCCAGACUCCUACGGGAGGCAGCAGUGGGGAAUAGUGGACAAUGGGGGGAACCCUGAUCCAGCCAUGCCGCGUGUGUGAAGAAGGCCUUAUGGUUGUAAAGCACUUUAAGCGAGGAGGAGGCUCUUUUGGUUAAUACCCAAGAUGAGUGGACGUUACUCGCAGAAUAAGCACCGGCUAACUCUGUGCCAGCCGCCGCAGUAA
RNAcentral lists this ribosomal RNA (503 nucleotides) under uncultured bacterium. RNAcentral's name for it is "partial 16S ribosomal RNA". It matches the Rfam family "Bacterial small subunit ribosomal RNA", at positions 30 to 523 of the family's 1533-position model. The record is from RNAcentral.